RNAcentral lists this ribosomal RNA (499 nucleotides) under uncultured Lachnospiraceae bacterium. RNAcentral describes it as "partial 16S ribosomal RNA". The record is from RNAcentral. Lineage: Bacteria; Bacillati; Bacillota; Clostridia; Lachnospirales; Lachnospiraceae.
UACGUAGUUAGCCGGGGCUUCUUGGUCAGGUACCGUCUUGCUUCUUCCCUGCUGAUAGAGCUUUACAUACCGGAGUACUCCUUCACUCACGCGGCGUCGCUGCAUCAGGGUUCCCCCCAUUGUGCAAUAUCCCCCACUGCUGCCUCCCGUAGGAGUUUGGGCCGUGUCUCAGUCCCAAUGUGGCCGGUCACCCUCUCAGGUCGGCUACCGAUCGUCGCCUUGGUGGGCCGUUACCCCACCAACCAGCUGAUCGGACGCGGGUCCAUCCUAUACCACCGGAGUUUUCCGCACUGUCCCAUGCGGGACUGUGCGCUCAUGCGGUAUUAGCAGCCAUUUCUAGCUGUUAUCCCCCAGUAUAGGGCAGGUUACCCACGCGUUACUCACCCGUCCGCCACUAAGUCAUGACCCAUUCCGCCCGAAGGCCUCAUGGGUCAUGCUUCGUUCGACUUGCAUGUGUUAGGCACGCCGCCAGCGUUCAUCCUGAGCCAGGAUCAAACUC